This 444-nucleotide ribosomal RNA is filed under the name uncultured bacterium. RNAcentral's name for it is "bacterial SSU rRNA". It matches the Rfam family "Bacterial small subunit ribosomal RNA", at positions 331 to 793 of the family's 1533-position model. The record is from RNAcentral.
CCAGACUCCUACGGGAGGCAGCAGUGGGGAAUAUUGGGCAAUGGGCGCAAGCCUGACGCAGCAACGCCGCGUGAACGAGACGCCCUUCGGGGUGUAAAGUUCUGUCAGUGGGGACGAAAGAUGACGGUACCCACAGAGGAAGCACCGGCUAACUCCGUGCCAGCAGCCGCGGUAAUACGUAGGGAGCGAGCGUUGUCCGGAAUUACUGGGUGUAAAGGGAGCGUAGGCGGGGAUGCAAGUUGGGUGUCAAAACUACCGGCUCAACUGGUAGUCGCACUCAAAACUGCAGCUCUUGAGUGAAGUAGAGGCAGGCGGAAUUCCUAGUGUAGCGGUGAAAUGCGUAGAUAUUAGGAGGAACACCAGUGGCGAAGGCGGCCUGCUGGGCUUUUACUGACGCUGAGGCUCGAAAGUGUGGGGAGCAAACAGGAUUAGAUACCCCGGUAC